GUUUUUGUUGUUAUACAAGACCAGCCUUAGUCUGUGGCAAUCUGAUAGGGUGCAUGUGAUUAUUUCAAACUGAUUGUUGAGGUCUGUUUUGUGACUGAUUAGAUGGUCAAUUUUGGAGAAGGUACUAUAAGGUUCAGAGAUGGUAUAGUCUUUUGUUUUAGGGUGAAAUGUUCUAUAGAUAUGUUUUUAAUCCGUUUGAUUCGUAACUUGUUAGUUUCACUGUGUCUCUGUUUAGUUUCUGUUUCCAUGAUAUGUCCAUUGAGAAGAGUGGGGCGUUGAAGUCUCCCACUAUUAUUGUGUGAGGUGCAAUGUGUGCUUUGCGCUUUAGUAAAGUGAGUUUGUGUACCCUUGCAUUUGUAGCAUAGAUGUCCAGAAUUGAGAGUUCGUCUUGGUAGAUUUUUCCUUUGAAGAGUCCUUCAAAGAAAGGAAGUAUUCUUCCUUAUCUUUUUAUUAAACGUCGAUUUUAUUCAAUAUUAGAAUGGCUACUUUUUCUUUUUUUGUUUCUUUUCUUUUUUUUUUUUUAACCCUCCUUCCUCUCCAGCUUGUUUCUUGGGACCAUUUGCUUGGAAAAUUGUUUUCUAGCCUUUUACUCUAAGGUAGCGUCUGACUUUGUCACUGAGGUGCAUUUCCUGCAUGCAGCAAAAUGCUGGGUCCUCUUUACAUAUCUAGUCUGUUAGUAUAUGUCUUUUUUUUUUAUAAUUAGUAACAUUCUUUAUUCUUUUUUAAAAUUUUAUAUUAUUUUUAAUUUAUUUUCUACACUCCAUAUUCCAUUUCCUACCCCACCCCCAUCUGCCUUCCAACUGCUCCACAUCCCACACCUCUUCCCCACCCCACCCUGUCUCCAUGUGAAUGCCCCCACCCCCACUCCACAUGACCUCUAAACUUCCUGGGGCCUCCAGUCUCUUUGAGGGUUAGGUGCAUCAUCUCUAAAUGAACACAGACCCAGAAGUCCUCUACUGUAUGUGUGUUGGGGGCCUCCUAUCAGCUGGUGUAUGCUGUUUGUUUGGUGGUCCAGUAUUUGAGAGAUCUCAGGGUUCCAGAUUAAUUGAGACUGCUGGUCCUCUUAUAGAUUGCCCUUUCCUCAGCUCUUUCAGCCACAACAACAGGAGUCAGCUGCUUCUGUCUUUGGUUGGGUGCAAAUAUCUGCAUGACUCUUUCAGCUGCUUUUUUGGUCUUUCAGAGUGCAGUCAUGGUAGAUCCCUUUUUGUGAGCGCUCCAUAGCCUCAGUAAUAGUGUCAGGCCUUAAGACACCACCACCACCUCCCCUUUGAGGUGGAUCUCACUUUGGGCCUGUUGCUGAACCUUCCCUUCCUCAGGCUCUUCUCUAUUUCCAUCCCUGUAAAUUUUUUAGACAGGAACAAUUAUUGGUCAGAGAUGUGACUAUGGGAUGACAACCCCAUCCCUCACUUGAUGUCCUGUCUUUCUGCUGGAGGUAGGCUCUAUAAGUUCCCUCUCCUUACUGUUGGACAUUUCAUCUAAGGUCCCUCCCUUUGAUUACUGAGAGUCUCUUACCUCCCAGGUCUCUGGUGCAUUCUGGAGGGUCCCCCCAACCUCCUAUUUCCUGAGGUUGCCUGCUUCAAUUCUUUCUUCUGGCCCUCAGGGCUUCAGUCAUUUUUCCUCACCCAAUACCAGAUCUGACUUAAAAGUCUAUGUCUUUUUAUUGGGAGAAUGGAGUCUGUUGAUGUUAAGAGAUAGUAAGGAAAAUGAUUGUUCCUUUCUGCUCUUUUCGUUGUUAGAGGUAGAAUUAUGUUUGUGUGGCUAUUAUCUUUGGGGCUUUUUGAAAGAAGAUUACUUCUUGCUUUUUCUAGGGAGUAAUUUCCCUCCUUAUGUUGGAGUUUUCUACCUAUUAUCCUUUGUAGCGCUGGAUUUGUGGAAAGAUAUUCUGUAAAUUUGGGUUUGUCAUGUAAUAUCUUAGUUUCUCCAUCUAUGGUAAUUGAGAGUUUCACUGGGUAUAGUAGCCUGGGCUGGCAUUUGUGUUCUCUUAGGGUCUGUAUGACAUCUGUCCAGGAUUUUCUGGGUUUCAGAGUCUGGUGAGAAGUCUGGUGUAAUUCUGAUAGGUCUGCCUUUAUAUGGUACUUAACAUUUUCCCCUUAUUGCUUUUAAUAUUCUUUUUUUGUUUUGUGCAUUUGUUGUUCUGAUUAUUAUGUAUCGGGAGGAAUUUCUUUUCUGGUCCAGUCUAUUUGGAGUUCUUUAGGCUUCUUGUAUGUUCAUGGGCAUCUCUUUCUUUAGGUUAGGGAAGUUUUCUUCUAUAAUUUUGUUGAAGAUAUUUACUGGCCCUUUAUGUUGGGAAUUUUCAUUCUCUUCUUAUUAUCUUUAGGUUUGGUCUUCUCAUUGUUUCCUGGAUUUCCUGGAUGUUUUGGGUUAGGAGUUUUUUGCAUUUUGUAUUUUCUUUGAUUGUUGUGUCACUGUUUUCUAUGGUAUCUUCUGCACCUGAGAUUCUCUCUUCCAUCUCUUGUAUUCUGUUGGUGAUGUUUAUGUCUAUGACUCCUAAUCUCUUUCCUAGGUUUUCUGUCUCCAAGCUUGUAUCCCUUUGUGAUUUCUUUAUUGUUUGUAUUUCCAUCUUUAGAUUCUGGAUGGUUUUGUUCAAAGUCUAGCUUCCUCCUGAUUCUGUGAUCUGGGGCAUUUCAGAGCACCUGGGAGUUGGGUCCCUCUGGGUGUUGUAAGAGUGGGUGCAGAGCCAGUACCCCAGGUCUGCUCCAGGUGCAGGUUCAGACCAGAAGGAACCCGUGCCACUGGGCUGACUAGGGUUCCUAUGUCCCUGGAUCCUGUGGGACCAGUUACUCUGGGUAUUGGGACAGAUGUUGUGGUCUCUUCACCUGUUAUCCUAGGCAUUUUAGAGCACCUGGGAGUCAACCUUUCUCCAGGUUUAGGUUUCUAAUAUUAACUAUUUCUGUUAUUUUUUUUAAAAAAUCCCUCUUUGAUGGUUUUAAUUUAGAAAUCUAACAAAUUAGGUAAUUUUAACU
RNAcentral lists this long non-coding RNA (2963 nucleotides) under Mus musculus (house mouse). RNAcentral's name for it is "long non-coding RNA chr2:37480173-37483136". The record is from RNAcentral. Lineage: Eukaryota; Metazoa; Chordata; Mammalia; Rodentia; Muridae.